GGUCCGUUGUCACAGCGGAGGGACAUUA
RNAcentral lists this ribosomal RNA (28 nucleotides) under Colletotrichum boninense. Its description in RNAcentral is "partial 18S ribosomal RNA". Lineage: Eukaryota; Fungi; Ascomycota; Sordariomycetes; Glomerellales; Glomerellaceae. The record is from RNAcentral.